This 606-nucleotide ribosomal RNA is filed under the name uncultured bacterium. RNAcentral describes it as "bacterial SSU rRNA". It matches the Rfam family "Bacterial small subunit ribosomal RNA", at positions 8 to 613 of the family's 1533-position model. The record is from RNAcentral.
AGAGUUUGAUCCUGGCUCAGGAUGAACGCUGGCGGCGUGCCUAACACAUGCAAGUCGAACGGGGUAUAUAAGCGGAAGUUUACGGAUGGAAGGUUAUAUACUUAGUGGCGGACGGGUGAGUAACGCGUGGGCAACCUGCCCCGUGCCGGGGGAUACCGCCUGGAAACAGGCGCUAAUACCGCAUAAGCGCAUACAGCCGCAUGGGUGUAUGCGGAAAGCUCCGGCGGCACGGGAUGGGCCCGCGCCCGAUUAGCCAGUUGGCGGGGUAACGGCCCACCAAAGCGACGAUCGGUAGCCGGCCUGAGAGGGCGGACGGCCACAUUGGGACUGAGACACGGCCCAAACUCCUACGGGAGGCAGCAGUGGGGAAUAUUGCACAAUGGGGGAAACCCUGAUGCAGCAACGCCGCGUGGGUGAAGGAGCGUUUCGGCGCGUAAAGCCCUGUCAGCGGGGAAAAAGAAAGACGGUACCCGACCAAGAAGCCCCGGCUAACUACGUGCCAGCAGCCGCGGUAAUACGUAGGGGGCGAGCGUUAUCCGGAAUUACUGGGUGUAAAGGGAGCGUAGACGGCGAGGUAAGCCUGAAGUGGAAGCCCCGCGGCCCAAC